Molecule: long non-coding RNA, 2036 nt
Organism: Cercocebus atys (sooty mangabey)
Lineage: Eukaryota; Metazoa; Chordata; Mammalia; Primates; Cercopithecidae
Exons: 2
Source: RefSeq, a predicted model, not a curated record
UCCAGCCUGGGCAACAGAGCAGGACUCUGUCUCAAAAACCUCUUUUGGAAAUUUUCCAAGAAGAGAUGUUUACUGGAACUAGAAAUUAGAAGUUACAUCUAACAUUCCUUCCAGCAUGAAAUUCUGAACUCAGCCAAUUUUGAUCAGAGGUCCUUAUUUUUUUCAUGCCACAUUUGAAGCACACAUCAAUGUUUUUUUCAUUUUUAUACAAUUCUUCUUGCUGCAACAAAAAUAUGUAUAUGAUAUAAAGGUUAAAGAUACUGAAAAUGAAGUAAAGAAAAACAUUAGAAAUUAAGAGUUCAAUUUUACAGGCAGAGAGUUAUACAUGAUACAGUGGGAGGAGUGGGCAUAGGAACGUUUCCUUUUCCUUACUAAUAAAAAAUAGUAAUUGUCUAUUUAAAUACAUUAACUUCAACCUGGUAAAUCACUCUCAGACCUUGACAGAAGGUCAAAACUUUAUAAAUAGCAAUAUAAGUGAAAAAAUAUAAACCAAAGAUAAAAGCUCCAAAUGUUAUUUUUCUUAAAAACUAUUAUAAUUUUGUAGUUCAAUGAUCCAAUGAUUUUGUUUUCCCCUACAGAAAAAAAGGGGUAUCUGUACAGAUCUAAAAGUUAUUAUUCAAGGAAUCUAAACUUGAGUGAUCCUGUUUUCAAAUGUCAGACCACCACUUACUCAUGCUUUAUUUUUAUUAAUACGUGCAAAGGACAAGCAAAAAGUUAAAUGCAUGCUCUGUCUCACAUGUGGAACCCAGAAUUUGUUGGAAGUAUUCCACCAAGUUUUUAUUAAGCCUACUUCCAUAUUCAGGACUCAUAGUGGCCAAUCUAACUUCUUUAAGGCCUGUAACAACAACUCCAGACUGCCAUUAGGAUUCCUACCCCCAUCUCACAAGAGAAUUACAAAGUAGUCGCUUACAUCAUUUGGAAUUACAAUUGUCAGUAACACAAAUGAAAUUCCUGAGUUCAAUACUAAACAAAGAAAAUGAGACAGCAACCCUAUCCUCUGGGGAGCUAAUGUUCUCAGGCAACCACUUCACAAAGAUAAUAUAUUAGAGGACAACUGCAUAGAAACUGUCCAGUUUCUGAGGCAGUCCCUAUCCUAAAUACUCUGACCUGUUAGCCACAUAAAUGUAAUUGUACUAGUCACAGCAAGUCUCUGGAACUUUAAUUCAGAAUAUAUAUUUCAGAAGAAUAGUAAGAGACAAAAGCACAGAUUUACAUGGAAAGUAUCUACACUUAACUGCUUAUAUUUCAAACUUUGCAAAGAGUCGCUGUAUUUCAUAGGAUGCUGAGUAAGACCAUGAAACAGGGCAGGAUCUAAAGAAUGAAGAACUGGAGACCCAUCCAGGACCCCAACAAUGACAGGUUAACCAAAUAGGGUCAAUCCUUGAAAAAAGAUGAAGCAGGGGCACUAGUCUGCAGGACUUGUUUCCACAGAUUCCAUUCCUCCUUCAUGUCCCCCAGCCUCACAUGCCCAAAGUGCUGACUCAUCUGGACUUUCCCUUGCCCUUCUUCCAAAGCAGGGCCCCAUGUAUUCAUGGAGGUUACAUGGCAGGUGGAGAAGUAAUAAAAUCAGUUAUGUAAGUCACAUCGUACUAAGUGCUAUUUUUAAAAUAUUGAACACAUUGAUAGGUUGUGGUCCUCAACCCUGCAUGAACAUUAAUCAUCAUCGUGGAAGCUUUUUAAAAUACAAAUAACUGGGCCCCACUCAACCAAUUAAAUCAGAAUCUGUGGGAAUAGGCCCAACAAGCAGCUUUUUUUAAAAAGGUCCCUAGAUGAUUACAAUGUACAGCCAAGUGGGAGAACCACUAGCAUAGAGUGGCCAGGGGCUGUUAUUCGUUUCAGUUGGCAAAAGGAUGGCCUUUUCAAAAUGAUGUUUGAAUUGUAACUUAAAUUGUCGGGGCAGGACAACCCAAUUCCUGGGCAAUGGGGACAGCUAACCCCACUUCAGUGAUUUAUCCCUUCGUUUCCUUUCUCAGUAACAAAUAACAGCACUCUACCAGCCCCAAAGAGAUUGUGAGGAUAACAGACAUGGGAAAAAA